GAGACACCGCUAUGGAGCAGGACUUGAUUCAGUGGGGCUUUGGUGCACACUGAGUCCGCCCCUUGUGGAUGUGUCACU
This 78-nucleotide microRNA precursor is filed under the name Myotis brandtii (Brandt's bat). Its description in RNAcentral is "mir-9229 microRNA precursor family". It matches the Rfam family "mir-9229 microRNA precursor family". Lineage: Eukaryota; Metazoa; Chordata; Mammalia; Chiroptera; Vespertilionidae. The record is from Rfam by way of RNAcentral.